CAGGGUUUGACAUGGAGUUGCACCACCUGGAGACAGGUGUCCCUUCGGGGCGGCUCCACAGGUGCUGCAUGGCUGUCGUCAGCUCGUGCCGUGAGGUGUUGGGUUAAGUUCCGCAACGAGCGCAACCCCUGUCGUCGGUUGGAGAUGUCCGACGAGACUGCCGCGAUCAACGUGGAGGAAGGUGGGGAUGACGUCAAGUCAGCACGGCCCUUACAUCCUGGGCGACACACACGCUACAAUGGUCGGGACAACGGGAAGCCAACCAGCGAUGGGGAGCCAAUCCCACAAACCCGGUCUCAGUUCGGAUCGGAGGCUACAACCCGCCUCCGUGAAGUGGGAGUUGCUAGUAACCGCGGGUCAGCACACCACGGUGAAUACGUUCCC
Molecule: ribosomal RNA, 384 nt
Filed under: uncultured bacterium
Lineage: Bacteria
Description: bacterial SSU rRNA
Rfam family: Bacterial small subunit ribosomal RNA
Source: RNAcentral